RNAcentral lists this ribosomal RNA (2900 nucleotides) under Escherichia albertii. RNAcentral's name for it is "bacterial LSU rRNA". It matches the Rfam family "Bacterial large subunit ribosomal RNA". Lineage: Bacteria; Pseudomonadati; Pseudomonadota; Gammaproteobacteria; Enterobacterales; Enterobacteriaceae. The record is from RNAcentral.
UUAAGCGACUAAGCGUACACGGUGGAUGCCCUGGCAGUCAGAGGCGAUGAAGGACGUGCUAAUCUGCGAUAAGCGUCGGUAAGGUGAUAUGAACCGUUAUAACCGGCGAUGUCCGAAUGGGGAAACCCAGUGUGUUUCGACACACUAUCAUUAACUGAAUCCAUAGGUUAAUGAGGCGAACCGGGGGAACUGAAACAUCUAAGUACCCCGAGGAAAAGAAAUCAACCGAGAUUCCCCCAGUAGCGGCGAGCGAACGGGGAGCAGCCCAGAGCCUGAAUCAGUGUGUGUGUUAGUGGAAGCGUCUGGAAAGGCGCGCGAUACAGGGUGACAGCCCCGUACACAAAAAUGCACAUACUGUGAGCUCGAUGAGUAGGGCGGGACACGUGGUAUCCUGUCUGAAUAUGGGGGGACCAUCCUCCAAGGCUAAAUACUCCUGACUGACCGAUAGUGAACCAGUACCGUGAGGGAAAGGCGAAAAGAACCCCGGCGAGGGGAGUGAAAAAGAACCUGAAACCGUGUACGUACAAGCAGUGGGAGCCCUGAUUUAUCAGGGUGACUGCGUACCUUUUGUAUAAUGGGUCAGCGACUUAUAUUCUGUAGCAAGGUUAACCGAAUAGGGGAGCCGGAGGGAAACCGAGUCUUAACUGGGCGUUAAGUUGCAGGGUAUAGACCCGAAACCCGGUGAUCUAGCCAUGGGCAGGUUGAAGGUUGGGUAACACUAACUGGAGGACCGAACCGACUAAUGUUGAAAAAUUAGCGGAUGACUUGUGGCUGGGGGUGAAAGGCCAAUCAAACCGGGAGAUAGCUGGUUCUCCCCGAAAGCUAUUUAGGUAGCGCCUCGUGAAUUCAUCUCCGGGGGUAGAGCACUGUUUCGGCAAGGGGGUCAUCCCGACUUACCAACCCGAUGCAAACUGCGAAUACCGGAGAAUGUUAUCACGGGAGACACACGGCGGGUGCUAACGUCCGUCGUGAAGAGGGAAACAACCCAGACCGCCAGCUAAGGUCCCAAAGUCAUGGUUAAGUGGGAAACGAUGUGGGAAGGCCCAGACAGCCAGGAUGUUGGCUUAGAAGCAGCCAUCAUUUAAAGAAAGCGUAAUAGCUCACUGGUCGAGUCGGCCUGCGCGGAAGAUGUAACGGGGCUAAACCAUGCACCGAAGCUGCGGCAGCGACACUGUGUGUUGUUGGGUAGGGGAGCGUUCUGUAAGCCUGUGAAGGUGUGCUGUGAGGCAUGCUGGAGGUAUCAGAAGUGCGAAUGCUGACAUAAGUAACGAUAAAGCGGGUGAAAAGCCCGCUCGCCGGAAGACCAAGGGUUCCUGUCCAACGUUAAUCGGGGCAGGGUGAGUCGACCCCUAAGGCGAGGCCGAAAGGCGUAGUCGAUGGGAAACAGGUUAAUAUUCCUGUACUUGGUGUUACUGCGAAGGGGGGACGGAGAAGGCUAUGUUGGCCGGGCGACGGUUGUCCCGGUUUAAGCGUGUAGGCUGGUUUUCCAGGCAAAUCCGGAAAAUCAAGGCUGAGGCGUGAUGACGAGGCACUACGGUGCUGAAGCAACAAAUGCCCUGCUUCCAGGAAAAGCCUCUAAGCAUCAGGUAACAUCAAAUCGUACCCCAAACCGACACAGGUGGUCAGGUAGAGAAUACCAAGGCGCUUGAGAGAACUCGGGUGAAGGAACUAGGCAAAAUGGUGCCGUAACUUCGGGAGAAGGCACGCUGAUACGUAGGUGAAGUCCCUCGCGGAUGGAGCUGAAAUCAGUCGAAGAUACCAGCUGGCUGCAACUGUUUAUUAAAAACACAGCACUGUGCAAACACGAAAGUGGACGUAUACGGUGUGACGCCUGCCCGGUGCCGGAAGGUUAAUUGAUGGGGUCAGCGCAAGCGAAGCUCUUGAUCGAAGCCCCGGUAAACGGCGGCCGUAACUAUAACGGUCCUAAGGUAGCGAAAUUCCUUGUCGGGUAAGUUCCGACCUGCACGAAUGGCGUAAUGAUGGCCAGGCUGUCUCCACCCGAGACUCAGUGAAAUUGAACUCGCUGUGAAGAUGCAGUGUACCCGCGGCAAGACGGAAAGACCCCGUGAACCUUUACUAUAGCUUGACACUGAACACUGGUCCUUGAUGUGUAGGAUAGGUGGGAGGCUUUGAAGUGUGGACGCCAGUCUGCAUGGAGCCGUCCUUGAAAUACCACCCUUUAAUGGCUGGUGUUCUAACGUUGGCCCCUUACCGGGGUUGCGGACAGUGUCUGGUGGGUAGUUUGACUGGGGCGGUCUCCUCCUAAAGAGUAACGGAGGAGCACGAAGGUUGGCUAAUCCUGGUCGGACAUCAGGAGGUUAGUGCAAUGGCAUAAGCCAGCUUGACUGCGAGCGUGACGGCGCGAGCAGGUGCGAAAGCAGGUCAUAGUGAUCCGGUGGUUCUGAAUGGAAGGGCCAUCGCUCAACGGAUAAAAGGUACUCCGGGGAUAACAGGCUGAUACCGCCCAAGAGUUCAUAUCGACGGCGGUGUUUGGCACCUCGAUGUCGGCUCAUCACAUCCUGGGGCUGAAGUAGGUCCCAAGGGUAUGGCUGUUCGCCAUUUAAAGUGGUACGCGAGCUGGGUUUAGAACGUCGUGAGACAGUUCGGUCCCUAUCUGCCGUGGGCGCUGGAGAACUGAGGGGGGCUGCUCCUAGUACGAGAGGACCGGAGUGGACGCAUCACUGGUGUUCGGGUUGUCAUGCCAAUGGCACUGCCCGGUAGCUAAAUGCGGAAGAGAUAAGUGCUGAAAGCAUCUAAGCACGAAACUUGCCCCGAGAUGAGUUCUCCCUGACUGGAGAGUCCUGAAGGAACGUUGAAGACGACGACGUUGAUAGGCCGGGUGUGUAAGCGCAGCGAUGCGUUGAGCUAACCGGUACUAAUGAACCGUGAGGCUUAACCUU